This 231-nucleotide ribosomal RNA is filed under the name uncultured bacterium. RNAcentral's name for it is "partial 16S ribosomal RNA". It matches the Rfam family "Bacterial small subunit ribosomal RNA", at positions 524 to 753 of the family's 1533-position model. The record is from RNAcentral.
UACAGAGGUCUCAAGCGUUGUUCGGAUUCAUUGGGCGUAAAGGGUGCGUAGGUGGCGAGGCAAGUCUGGUGUGAAAUCCCGGGGCUCAACCUUGGGCUUGCAGUGGGUACGGGCAGACUAGAGUGCGGUAGGGGUGACUGGAAUUCCUGGUGUAGCGGUGAAAUGCGUAGAUAUCGAGAGGAACACCAGUGGCGAAGGCGGCUCACUGGACCGGAACUGACGCGUGAGGCG